GAUUGCGGCAGGCCUACACAUGCAGUCGAGCGGUAGCACAGAGAGCUUGCUCUCGGGUGACGAGCGGCGGACGGGUGAGUAAUGUCUGGGAAACUGCCUGAUGGAGGGGGAUAACUACUGGAAACGGUAGCUAAUACCGCAUAAUGUCGCAAGACCAAAGAGGGGGACCUUCGGGCCUCUUGCCAUCAGAUGUGCCCAGAUGGGAUUAGCUAGUAGGUGGGGUAACGGCUCACCUAGGCGACGAUCCCUAGCUGGUCUGAGAGGAUGACCAGCCACACUGGAACUGAGACACGGUCCAGACUCCUACGGGAGGCAGCAGUGGGGAAUAUUGCACAAUGGGCGCAAGCCUGAUGCAGCCAUGCCGCGUGUAUGAAGAAGGCCUUCGGGUUGUAAAGUACUUUCAGCGGGGAGGAAGGUGUUGAGGUUAAUAACCUCAGCAAUUGACGUUACCCGCAGAAGAAGCACCGGCUAACUCCGUGCCAGCAGCCGCGGUAAUACGGAGGGUGCAAGCGUUAAUCGGAAUUACUGGGCGUAAAGCGCACGCAGGCGGUCUGUCAAGUCGGAUGUGAAAUCCCCGGGCUCAACCUGGGAACUGCAUUCGAAACUGGCAGGCUAGAGUCUUGUAGAGGGGGGUAGAAUUCCAGGUGUAGCGGUGAAAUGCGUAGAGAUCUGGAGGAAUACCGGUGGCGAAGGCGGCCCCCUGGACAAAGACUGACGCUCAGGUGCGAAAGCGUGGGGAGCAAACAGGAUUAGAUACCCUGGUAGUCCACGCCGUAAACGAUGUCGACUUGGAGGUUGUGCCCUUGAGGCGUGGCUUCCGGAGCUAACGCGUUAAGUCGACCGCCUGGGGAGUACGGCCGCAAGGUUAAAACUCAAAUGAAUUGACGGGGGCCCGCACAAGCGGUGGAGCAUGUGGUUUAAUUCGAUGCAACGCGAAGAACCUUACCUACUCUUGACAUCCAGAGAACUUUCCAGAGAUGGAUUGGUGCCUUCGGGAACUCUGAGACAGGUGCUGCAUGGCUGUCGUCAGCUCGUGUUGUGAAAUGUUGGGUUAAGUCCCGCAACGAGCGCAACCCUUAUCCUUUGUUGCCAGCGGUCCGGCCGGGAACUCAAAGGAGACUGCCAGUGAUAAACUGGAGGAAGGUGGGGAUGACGUCAAGUCAUCAUGGCCCUUACGAGUAGGGCUACACACGUGCUACAAUGGCGCAUACAAAGAGAAGCGACCUCGCGAGAGCAAGCGGACCUCAUAAAGUGCGUCGUAGUCCGGAUUGGAGUCUGCAACUCGACUCCAUGAAGUCGGAAUCGCUAGUAAUCGUAGAUCAGAAUGCUACGGUGAAUACGUUCCCGGGCCUUGUACACACCGCCCGUCACACCAUGGGAGUGGGUUGCAAAAGAAGUAGGUAGCUUAACCUUCGGGAGGGCGCUUACCAACUUUGAUAAAUGA
Molecule: ribosomal RNA, 1444 nt
Filed under: bacterium
Lineage: Bacteria
Description: bacterial SSU rRNA
Rfam family: Bacterial small subunit ribosomal RNA
Source: RNAcentral